CUCAAUGAAAGAGAUUUGGGGCCCUAUAUCAUAAAGCCCUACUAAAGCUAUCUCUAAAUUUAUGGACUUUGAUAGAGCCCCUAAAGCCCAAGCGAGUCCCACACUUUAAAAAGUUGCAGCAUACAUCAGGCUUUGUUUAAUGUUUUUGUUUUUGUUUUUUUAACAGCAUCCAAAUAAAAGGCUUUGUUUAAUGUUUUACUAUCCCUUUUGUUUUUUGUAUUUGGUUUUUUUUUUCUUUUUUUUUUCUUUUUUUGGUUUGAUAUUUCCUUCUCUAUUUUUUUUUUCUUUGUUUUUCCUUUCAAUUGUUAUAAUUUACUUUUAAAAUUACUACUUUAAUUUUUCUAUGUUUUUUUUUAAUUUUUUAAAAUUAUAAAUGGGAGUAGAAAUGUUGAAUUUUUAUUUUUUUAAAUUAUAAUUAUAAUUUACCUUUAGAAUUGCC
This 439-nucleotide long non-coding RNA is filed under the name Prunus persica (peach). Its description in RNAcentral is "long non-coding RNA (PPER_LNC005845)". The record is from RNAcentral. Lineage: Eukaryota; Viridiplantae; Streptophyta; Magnoliopsida; Rosales; Rosaceae.